Molecule: long non-coding RNA, 1577 nt
Organism: Helianthus annuus (common sunflower)
Lineage: Eukaryota; Viridiplantae; Streptophyta; Magnoliopsida; Asterales; Asteraceae
Exons: 6
Source: RefSeq, a predicted model, not a curated record
CACAGUUCACCAUGUAUUAAUAAAUCUUCCUUACCACUCUUGAUUUUUUUUUUGUUCAUUAAAAGAUUUGGGGUUUUGAUUAUGAUAAAUUGUUGCAGCUAUGUUCAUGAAUUUUAACUUAAUUUAGUAGUUGACUACCUGGAUUUUAGAUAGAGCCCAUAUAUCAACAUUCAUAAUUUGCUCAGUAUUUUGUGAUUCAAGUUGCCAUUGGCUUGCGAAACCUAGAAAAAUGAAAAAUAUUGCUCUGCUGUUGCAAAGAAAAAAUCUUUGUUAAUCUUGAGUAAUUGCACAAGCUAAAGGGUGAAACCGAAAAUACAACAGAAGAUCUACAACAGAAAAUGCAGGUUUCGCCCCUGCCUUGAGAUCUUUUAUGUUCUCUCUUAACCUUAUAUCUAAUCUCUUUUCAAAUGCAGCAAGAACUACUAUUCGAAUGCUUGAAACUUUCAUUUGACUUGCUCAAGUUACAACUUUUACCGUACUCUAGCAGUUUUGACCUCUUUACUUAAUCUAUUUGGGUUGCAGUUGAUCUGAAACGGGCCACGUCAAUUUAUAAAAGAAAAUGAAUCAAAUGGGUCAAUCUUAAACACGUUGCAAGUUGCCCGAGAUGUACACAGGUUGGCCAUUAAAUAAUAGGUUGCGGCUUUGGAGCCUAGCGUUACAUCAGUCGUUAAGUCAGAUUCGUUAAGUCAGAUCAUACUGGUGUUCGGUAUAGUUAUGUUUCUUAUAAUGUACAUCUGGAACUAUGGUAGUAAGCUCAAGUAUGAAAUAGAAUACAUGACGAGUUACUUGAAGCGCAAAAGAAAGCAAAGAUUUUGGCAGAGCAAGAUCUUAAGGUGGAGCAAAGAAACAGCCUUGAGUCCUAUGUUUAUAAGACCCGUAGCAAGCCAGCAAGAGCUUUGCCACAGACUCAGAGAAGGACGUAAUCAUGAGCAGUCUAAAGGAGACUUAAGAUUGGCUGCAUGAAGACAGUGGCGAUGAAUCUGAACAAGACUAUACUUGAAAACUUAAAGAUAAAAGAACCGGUUGAAAAAAAUGUUAGGAAAAUGUGUGAGCAAAUGCAGAAAAAGCUCUGCGAGCUUAUUGUAUUGCAAAAUAUCUUCUGUGGGCGAUUCACUACCAGCUAGCAACAAAGAGAUGAUCCAAAGCCUUCAUUCCCAAUGGGUGAUGAACCCGUAUAUUCAGACCAAAGGGAGCAACGUGUGGACUCGGAUGUUAACUUGGACAAAAGCACCAACUUGUGGACUCGGACCAUAUUGACCGACACACUGAUUUAAAUGAACGAGAGCAACCCGUUGACUCGCCAAAGGGAUUAAGAUGCGAGCUCAGACCAAAGGGAGCAACCCGUGGACUCGAACCAUAGUGACCAAAACUAAAUCUUCUUACAUUAAUGGAAGCCAACAAGCACAUGAUGUUCUGAUUUCUUGCAUAGUUGGUAAGCUGGGCCUAUUAAGCUAUAUGUUUUCAUUUCUUGCCAAGUACUCUGUUAUAUGUUUGUUUUGGGGUAAAACAUGAGAUUUAUUGCAUCAUUUUUACAUCUUUUUACCAAUUGGAGUGACAUUUUUAAUAAACUUGCAUGA